CUUACUUGGGGAGAUCUCUUGGUUGCAGGUUCAACAAGAGAAGUCAGCAGAGGUCAUAGUAAGCGAUACAAGUACCGACAAGUUUCGGAGAACUCACCUCGCUGAAGGAC
Molecule: non-coding RNA, 110 nt
Organism: Flammeovirga sp. SJP92
Lineage: Bacteria; Pseudomonadati; Bacteroidota; Cytophagia; Cytophagales; Flammeovirgaceae
Source: Rfam